Molecule: unclassified non-coding RNA, 263 nt
Filed under: plant metagenome
Description: partial contains small subunit ribosomal RNA, internal transcribed spacer 1, and 5.8S ribosomal RNA
Source: RNAcentral
UUUCCGUAGGUGAACCUGCGGAAGGAUCAUUAUUGUAUAACCGAGGUGCGAGAGCUGUCGCUGACCCGAAAGGUCGUGCACGCCCGAGUGCCCUCACACACAUCCAUCUCACCCCUAUGUGCACAACCGCGUGGGUCCCCCUUUGGCUUGUUCGGAGGGGGGCUUACGUGUUCACACAGACUUUGUAUGCAGUGUAGAAUGUAUUUUUUGUUUUUGCGAUCACGCAAUCAAUACAACUUUCAACAACGGAUCUCUUGGCUCUC